GCAAGAUUAAAACUCAAAGGAAUAGACGGGGACCCGCACAAGUGGUGGAGCAUGUGGUUUAAUUCGAAGAUACGCGAAGAACCUUACCUAGCCUUGACAUUGAUAGAAUCUUCCAGAGAUGGAGGAGUGCCUUUCGGGGAACUUGAAAACAGGUGCUGCACGGCUGUCGUCAGCUCGUGUCGUGAGAUGUUGGGUUAAGUCCCGCAACGAGCGCAACCCUCGUCACUAGUUACUAACAGUUAGGCUGAGGACUCUAGUGAGACUGCCUUCGUAAGGAGGAGGAAGGUGAGGACGACGUCAAGUCAUCAUGGCCCUUACGGCUAGGGCAACACACGUGCUACAGUGGUUAGGACAGUGAGAAGCGAUACCGCGAGGUGGAGCCAAUCUAUAAACCUAAUCUCAGUUCGGAUUGUAGUCUGCAACUCGACUACAUGAAGCUGGAAUCGCUAGUAAUCGUAGAUCAGCUAUGCUACGGUGAAUACGUUCCCGGGUCUUGUACUCACCGCCCGUCACACCAUGGGAGUUGAUUUCACCCGAAGCGGGGAAGCUAAACUGGCUACCCUCCACGGUGGAAUUAGCGACUGGGGUGAAGUCGUAACAAGGUA
RNAcentral lists this ribosomal RNA (605 nucleotides) under uncultured bacterium. RNAcentral's name for it is "bacterial SSU rRNA". It matches the Rfam family "Bacterial small subunit ribosomal RNA", at positions 888 to 1498 of the family's 1533-position model. The record is from RNAcentral.